RNAcentral lists this ribosomal RNA (467 nucleotides) under uncultured bacterium. Its description in RNAcentral is "partial 16S ribosomal RNA". It matches the Rfam family "Bacterial small subunit ribosomal RNA", at positions 28 to 507 of the family's 1533-position model. The record is from RNAcentral.
GACGAACGCUGGCGGCGUGCUUAACACAUGCCAGUCGAACGGAAAGGCCCUGCUUUUGUGGGGUGCUCGAGUGGCGAACGGGUGAGUAACACGUGAGUAACCUGCCCUUGACUUUGGGAUAACUUCAGGAAACUGGGGCUAAUACCGGAUAGGAGCUCCUGCUGCAUGGUGGGGGUUGGAAAGUUUCGGCGGUUGGGGAUGGACUCGCGGCUUAUCAGCUUGUUGGUGGGGUAGUGGCUUACCAAGGCUUUGACGGGUAGCCGGCCUGAGAGGGUGACCGGCCACAUUGGGACUGGGAUGCGGCCAGAACUCCUACGGGGGGCAGCGGUGGGAAUUUUUCCACAAUGGGCGGAGGCCGGAUGCAGCAACGCGGGGUGGGGAAUGACGGCCUUCGGGUGGUAAACGGCUUCGCCUGUGACGAAGCGUGAGUGACGGUAAUGGGUAAAGAAGCACCGGCUAACUACGUG